GAACGUACCCUUUACUACGGAAUAACGCAGGGAAACUUGUGCUAAUACCGUAUGUGCCCUUCGGGGGAAAGAUUUAUCGGUAAAGGAUCGGCCCGCGUUGGAUUAGCUAGUUGGUGGGGUAAAGGCCUACCAAGGCGACGAUCCAUAGCUGGUCUGAGAGGAUGAUCAGCCACAUUGGGACUGAGACACGGCCCAAACUCCUACGGGAGGCAGCAGUGGGGAAUAUUGGACAAUGGGCGCAAGCCUGAUCCAGCCAUGCCGCGUGAGUGAUGAAGGCCUUAGGGUUGUAAAGCUCUUUCACCGGAGAAGAUAAUGACGGUAUCCGGAGAAGAAGCCCCGGCUAACUUCGUGCCAGCAGCCGCGGUAAUACGAAGGGGGCUAGCGUUGUUCGGAAUUACUGGGCGUAAAGCGCACGUAGGCGGACUUUUAAGUCAGGGGUGAAAUCCCGGGGCUCAACCUCGGAACUGCCUUUGAUACUGGAAGUCUUGAGUAUGGAAGAGGUUAGUGGAAUUGCGAGUGUAGAGGUGAAAUUCGUAGAUAUUCGCAGGAACACCAGUGGCGAAGGCGGCUAACUGGUCCAUAACUGACGCUGAGGUGCG
This 599-nucleotide ribosomal RNA is filed under the name uncultured bacterium. RNAcentral describes it as "bacterial SSU rRNA". It matches the Rfam family "Bacterial small subunit ribosomal RNA", at positions 122 to 755 of the family's 1533-position model. The record is from RNAcentral.